GACGAACGCUAGCGGCGUGGAUUAGGCAUGCAAGUCGAACGGUAGGAUACCUUCGGGUAUCUGAGAGUGGCGAACGGGUGAGUAACACGUAGGUGAUCUACCCUCAAGAUUGGGACAACCCAGGGAAACUUGGGCUAAUACCGGAUGAAAGCAGCAGUGAUGUUGUUUGAAAGGUGGCGUAAGCUGCCGUUUGGGGAUGAGCCUGCGCUCUAUUAGUUAGUUGGCGGGGUAAAGGCCCACCAAGGCGAUGAUAGAUAGGCGGCCUUAACGGGUGGUCGCCCACACUGGGAUUGAGAUACGGCCCAAACUCCUACGGGAGGCAGCAGUCGAGAAUAGUCUACAAUGGCCGAAAGGCUGAUAGUGCGACGCCGCGUGAACGAAGAAGCCCUUGGGGUGUAAAGUUCUUUUAUAUGUGAGCAGUGCUUUCUAUGUGAACAGCAUGGGGAGAGAGAUAUUAGCAUAUGAAAUAAGCAACGGCUAACUCCGUGCCAGCAGCC
This 497-nucleotide ribosomal RNA is filed under the name uncultured bacterium. Its description in RNAcentral is "bacterial SSU rRNA". It matches the Rfam family "Bacterial small subunit ribosomal RNA", at positions 28 to 516 of the family's 1533-position model. The record is from RNAcentral.